GACGAACGCUGGCGGCGCGCUUAACACAUGCAAGUCGAGCGAGAACCAGGGCUUCGGCUCUGGGGACAGCGGCGAACGGGUGAGUAACACGUGAGUAAUCUGCCCUCGACACUGGGAUAGCCCGGGGAAACCCGGAUUAAUACCGGAUAGCCUUUCGAGCUCUCGGGCUCGUCAGAAAAGGAUGGCUUCGGCUUUCGGUUGAGGAUGAGCCUGCGGCGGAUUAGCUUGUUGGUGAGGAACGGCUCACCAAGGCGACAAUCCGUAGCUGGUCUGAGAGGACGAUCAGCCACACUGGGACUGAGACACGGCCCAGACUCCUACGGGAGGCAGCAGUGGGGAAUCUUGCGCAAUGAGCGAAAGCUUGACGCAGCGACGCCGCGUGAGGGAAGAAGGCCUCGG
Molecule: ribosomal RNA, 399 nt
Filed under: uncultured bacterium
Lineage: Bacteria
Description: bacterial SSU rRNA
Rfam family: Bacterial small subunit ribosomal RNA
Source: RNAcentral